UUUCUAUUUUUCUCCAGGUUGUUGGUCUUAAUGUCUCAUCAGCCACUACCCCUGAGCUAUUAUUAAAGAGGUUUGAUCAUUACUGUGAGUACAAGAGGACUCCCAAAGGAGUUGUGAUGGCUCCUUCUCAACUCGGAAAGUGGCUGGUUCUCUUCUGUGACGAGAUUAACCUUCCAGACCUUGACAAAUAUGAUUGUCGAGCACAGUGGAUUUUACAGGAUCUCUGAUCACACGUGGGUGACAAUAGAGAGGAUACAGUUUGUAGGAGCGUGUAACCCACCGACUGACCGGGGAAGGAAACCACUGUCUCACAGCUGUGAAGGAAUUUAAGAAAUCCCACCUGGUUGAAGUGAGGGCUCUGAACAACCCCAUCAGGUCAUCAAGAUGGCACUGGAAAGCAUCUGCAUGCUAAUGGGAGAACCUUACACUGACUGGAAGAGUAUCAGACAGAUUAUAAUGAAGGAGAACUUUAUAUCACACUACGUGGGAAUAUUUUCGGAUUUUUUUAGAGCUAAGAACCCUGUCAGGAAGCACUCUCAUUAUUUCAUACUCAAUCCCUCUAGGACGUUGAGAGCUACAACCCAAUCCUGAACCAUGUCCUAUCCUAGGCGACAACAGUGAAAGUGAUUACAAUACCGAGUUUGAUUGCUUCCUAUGAGGUAAGGACUCGUUGGGUAUGGACUCCUCAGUCCCAGAGAUGAAGGGACUCACUAAAGACCAGGUUCUGUCAAUGCAUCAUCUCUCGAAGCAGCUGA
Long non-coding RNA from Amphimedon queenslandica, 755 nucleotides. RefSeq lists it as uncharacterized. Lineage: Eukaryota; Metazoa; Porifera; Demospongiae; Haplosclerida; Niphatidae. The transcript has 5 exons. The record is from RefSeq and is a predicted model, not a curated record.